Molecule: microRNA precursor, 65 nt
Filed under: Sarcophilus harrisii (Tasmanian devil)
Lineage: Eukaryota; Metazoa; Chordata; Mammalia; Dasyuromorphia; Dasyuridae
Also listed under: 2 other names
Description: Sha-Mir-15-P2a_pre stem-loop
Rfam family: mir-16 microRNA precursor family
About the family: The hairpin precursors (represented here) are predicted based on base pairing and cross-species conservation -- their extents are not known. In this case the mature sequence is excised from the 5' arm of the hairpin.
Source: RNAcentral
UAGCAGCACGUAAAUAUUGGCGUUAAGAUUUUAAAAGUAUCUCCAGUAUUAACUGUGCUGCUGAA